RNAcentral lists this ribosomal RNA (864 nucleotides) under uncultured bacterium. RNAcentral's name for it is "bacterial SSU rRNA". It matches the Rfam family "Bacterial small subunit ribosomal RNA", at positions 57 to 886 of the family's 1533-position model. The record is from RNAcentral.
GCAGUCGACGAGUUCUCGUUGAUGAUCGGUGCUUGCACCGAGAUUCAACAUGGCACGAGUGGCGGACGGGUGAGUAACACGUGGGUAACCUGCCCUUAAGUGGGGGAUAACAUUUGGAAACAGAUGCUAAUACCGCAUAGAUCCAAGAACCGCAUGGUUCUUGGCUGAAAGAUGGCGUAAGCUAUCGCUUUUGGAUGGACCCGCGGCGUAUUAGCUAGUUGGUGAGGUAACGGCUCACCAAGGCGAUGAUACGUAGCCGAACUGAGAGGUUGAUCGGCCACAUUGGGACUGAGACACGGCCCAAACUCCUACGGGAGGCAGCAGUAGGGAAUCUUCCACAAUGGACGCAAGUCUGAUGGAGCAACGCCGCGUGAGUGAAGAAAGCUUUCGGGUCGUAAAACUCUGUUGUUGGAGAAGAAUGGUCGGCAGAGUAACUGUUGUCGGCGUGACGGUAUCCAACCAGAAAGCCACGGCUAACUACGUGCCAGCAGCCGCGGUAAUACGUAGGUGGCAAGCGUUAUCCGGAUUUAUUGGGCGUAAAGCGAGCGCAGGCGGUCUUUUAAGUCUGAUGUGAAAGCCCUCGGCUUAACCGAGGAAGCGCAUCGGAAACUGGGAAACUUGAGUGCAGAAGAGGACAGUGGAACUCCAUGUGUAGCGGUGAAAUGCGUAGAUAUAUGGAAGAACACCAGUGGCGAAGGCGGCUGUCUGGUCUGUAACUGACGCUGAGGCUCGAAAGCAUGGGUAGCGAACAGGAUUAGAUACCCUGGUAGUCCAUGCCGUAAACGAUGAAUGCUAGGUGUUGGAGGGUUUCCGCCCUUCAGUGCCGCAGCUAACGCAUUAAGCAUUCCGCCUGGGGAGUACGAC